CUUUUCUGUCUGUUCUGAAGCUAGGACUGAGGGACUCCUUCAGAGGCUGAGAAGCAAUUGCUCAGGCCACGGCUCGGUUUUCUCCCAUCGUCUCUGAUCCCUUGAUGGACGGUAUCCUUCCUUCAGGCUGAUUCUUACCUGAUACUUGUGGGACUGAGGAUUCUGUGGGAGAGUGUGGUGAGUUGUGGAUGAAAAAAUGCAAGACAGAAUGAGCAAUGUCAAGCUUGGAGGGUCCUGUGCAGCCACAGAAGAUGAGACCAAGAAGGGACAAGUGAUAACAGGGACGGGGCAGGAGAAAAAGGAAGAGGAGAGAGAGAGCCCGAGUUCAGCACUGAUCUCGGAUUCCUGCUUCGACAGCUCUUCCAACUUCUGGAAGAUUCCAUCAUGUUUCCUGCUUUUCUGCUUCCUUCCUUCAUGGAGCCUCCCAAAGCAGAAGGAAAAAGGGACUGUGGGAAAGACAGCAGUGAGGACCAGAGGGGGUGCAGCUGCACAGAAAGGGACCGUCAGCUGGGCUAGUUCCUUCAGCGGAUGUCUUGAAAGCUUUCAGUCAAGCAAGAAAGCUCCGACACUGGAGUGCCGAGGAUGGAGCUGGGUCUGUCUUUACCUCGGCUUUUCUCUCUGUGAAGUGUUGACAGACUGAGUGUUGACGGGCAGCUCCAGGAGCCGGCAUACUACUGCCUCUGGUUUGCCUGGUGAUGGAAGCACUUUGUAAAACAUGGUGGUCCUUGGUGUGUGUGACUAGGGAGGCUGUGUGGAAAUGAAGCGUGCCGAGGCUCGCUGCCUCCUCAGGCCUGGAGCCGAGACUCUUUGUGGCUUGUCCUUUCAGAUACACUAAUUUUUGUUGUUUCAGUUUAAAUGUUACCUGUGUGUCCCUGCAAAUCCAUAUUCAGACACUUGAUUCAUAGCUAAUUUUGGAUGGUCUUAAAAGGUGUCUGUGUCUCUGUCUGUCUGUCUUCCCUUCAUUUCUUCCUCUCCUCCCUUCCUUCUUUUCUCCUCUUUCCCUUUUCUUAUUCUUUUUAUCGUUUUCUUUUUCACUUAUCUCUGUUUCCUCCCCACUGUCCUUUCUUUUAUGUCUCUCUGUCUGUCUUUCCAGGGUCUCACACUGUAGCUCUCACCUACUUUGUACCGGUGCCAAGCUUCAUCUUAAAUCUUCCAAGUGGUGAGAUUAUGGGAAUAAACCACCAUAGCUGAUUUAAAAAGGAAUUCAUUGGAAG
Non-coding RNA from Peromyscus maniculatus bairdii (prairie deer mouse), 1214 nucleotides. Lineage: Eukaryota; Metazoa; Chordata; Mammalia; Rodentia; Cricetidae. The record is from RefSeq and is a predicted model, not a curated record.